RNAcentral lists this ribosomal RNA (468 nucleotides) under uncultured bacterium. RNAcentral describes it as "partial 16S ribosomal RNA". It matches the Rfam family "Bacterial small subunit ribosomal RNA", at positions 28 to 507 of the family's 1533-position model. The record is from RNAcentral.
GACGAACGCUGGCGGCGUGCUUAACACAUGCAAGUCGAACGGAAAGGCGCGGCGUUUGUGGGGUGCUCGAGUGGCGAACGGGUGAGUAACACGUGAGUAACCUGCCCUUGACUUUGGGAGAACUUCAGGAAACUGGGGCUAAUACCGGAGAUGAGCUCCUGCUGCGUGGUGGGGGUUGGAAAGUUUCGGCGGUUGGGGAUGGACUCGAGGCUUAUCAGCUGGUUGGGGGGGUAGUGGCUUACCAGGGCUUUGACGGGUAGCCGGCGUGAGAGGGUGACCGGCCACCUUGGGCCUGAGAUACGGCCCAGUCUCCUACGGGACGCAGUAGUGGGGAAUAUUGCACAAUGGGCGGACGCCUGAUGCAGCAACGCCGCGUGCGGGAUGCCGGCCUUCGGGUUGUAAACCGCUUUCGCCUGUGACGAAGAGUGAGUGACGGUAAUGGGUCAAGAAGCCCCGGCUAACUACGUG